Molecule: long non-coding RNA, 881 nt
Organism: Triplophysa rosa
Lineage: Eukaryota; Metazoa; Chordata; Actinopteri; Cypriniformes; Nemacheilidae
Exons: 3
Source: RefSeq, a predicted model, not a curated record
UUUGCCUCCCAUAGGGUUGAGCCUGUUGGGUCAUUUUCUCAGUGUUGGGUAGUUUUUUGUGUAACCCAAUCGUUGGGUUACCGGUUGGGUCCAAUUGAGUGACAGUUCAGAGAGUAAACCCCUCCCCCUCCUCGACGCCUCAGACAAACUCUACCUUCGCGGGCAUUUUGAAUCACCUCAGGAACAAGCGAAGACAGCUGUUAUUCGGAGAAAAAAGGGUGCAGAAUAACUGCUGAUAAUAAUGGAUAAUUCUGUUCAGGAGGAAGAGCAGUGGAACUUCGAUGUCCUGAUACCAAGCUUAAAGAUGAACAAAUUGAUAAAGAAACCCUCCUGCUGGACAUCCACUUCCCGAAGUGCACACCACACUGUUGUCUACUAACACCCAGGAAAAGAUAGAUCCUCUUCAGUAAGACUGCUCCGUGGAUAUGUCAGGUCCAGCAGUACUGGAACCAAAACAACUAACGCUCUUUAAACUGUUUUGUGAGUUCAUAUGAAGAGGAAAGUUCUCGGACUGCUACAUUCCUUGCAAAUGUCAACCAAUACCAUGAGAAAAUAACGUUUUUCCAAAGGUUUUUACUGUACUAGCUGCACCGAUAUCAACAUUUGGUGGUUCAAAUACCCAUGUGAGGUCUCUUUUCAAGUUAAGGUAUUGUUUGUACAUUUUAAUUCACAGAAAUCCUGCAAAGUUUGUCGCCUCCCGAAAACGGUGUCCUUUUUUCACAUCCUAACGCGUGUUUAUUUCCCAUUUUUUAAAUAGAAAACUUGUGCAUAGACUGAUAUUUUAAGUGCAGUUCUACCAACAAGGGUUUAGUAAAAUAUAAACAAAUGGUUCAGUAUAUUGGUAACAAAUACAUUCUCUGAGUGUUUUUAUGUCACAUCCA